UUCAAGUUACUCAGAAUGAGAAUCUCUUCAUGAUGAGAAGGGUAAGAAAAGCCAUGUUAAGACUGGUGUAAAAGUAAAAGAAUACCUUUGUUGAUUUCUUUUAUUCCCAAGAUAUGGCAGCACUGCCUGGCUGUCUGCUGGUACUGCCUGCCUAGUGAGUGUUCCUUGAGAAAUAGGAAGACACCUUGGUACCAGCCCAAGAGCAUGAGAACACUCCUUUAAACUAGGAAAGAACUUAACCAGCCAACAACUGGUUAAGAAAGAGUUUCAUACUGUUAGAAUGUGCAAUACAGUAAAAUCCCUCUUAUCCAGCAUCAACGGGACUGCCGACAUGCCGGAUACUUGAAUAUUGCCGGAUACCUGAAUAGAAGUGAAAUUACGUCUACAAUCACCACCCUACACUCAUGCAUCUUACCAUAACAAAGAUCAGCUGAUCUGAUCAGCUGCUUAAGUGUAAGCACAACACGCUUCCUCUUUUCCACAACUUUAGGCAUGAUGAAGGCGUCAGGCGAUAAACAGUGCACACAUGGGACUGAGUCAUUGAGUAAACACAGUGCAGUGAGCCGCGGGUGGCGCGAAGCAGUGUGCUCUGGUGGCGAGGGGACAAAGUAUGCCUCGCGUGGGAAUUUUAAUCGAUUUUAUGAGUACACAUUGAUUUUUUAUUGAUUUUAAGGCUCGGGGAAAAAUGUGCCGGAUACUUGAAGCUGCCGGAUACUCGAAUGCCGGAUGAGAGGGAUUUUACUGUAUCAAUAGUUUGGUUGGUAAGAUUAAUGAAGUUUCUUAUCUCAUGCAUAACCAUAACAUAAAUAUUAUGGCCAUUACAGAAUCAUUUGUCCUUCCUAGUAUUCCUGACUCCUUACUCUUUAUACAUAGUUAUCAUCUAUUAACCCACGCUGACAUUGUUGGAGAUGUUCAAAAACACGGUGUCUGUCUUUAUAUGAAGAACAAUCUCUCCUUUAUUUCCUUGGGCAGCAACUGUCCCAAUGUUUAUACAGUGCACCAAGUGUCCCUUAAUUGUUAUAUAAUACUUGUGUAUUGACAUCCAUCAAAUUCUCCAGAGGAUAAUUUCAGGCUGACAAACUACUUGCAACAAUUCUGCACUGAUAAGGUAACUUCAAUUUUCCUGCCAUUGAUUGGACUGGGGAUGAUGCAAUGUACAUUCCUUGAUUAAGACCAUCCCUCUGCUGCUUUUACAAAUUGGUUUAACUCCAUUGGCCUACAUCAGUGGAUUGAUUUCCUAACUUUCAUACCUUCAGGUGACAGCCCUAACCUAAUCUUGUUAAUGGAAGAAGACAGAGUAGGCAAUGUAUGGUCUUCUUGCCCUUUUCCUGGCUGUGGACACGUUCCUAUACUUUUCAAUGAUCACCUCGUGUCCAAUUGUGUUGAGGAUAACAGUAAUUGUCCUCGUAAGAGAGCCUGGGCUGGAGGCAAAUAUAAUAUCAUUGAUGACCACUUAUCUGGAUAAAAUUGGGACUAUGAGUUCUGUCAUCUCUCAGUAAAUGCAAUGUUGACCAGACUAGGCAAUUCUUACACCACUGAUAAAAUCCUACAUACCACUCUGUACAAAACCUAACCCUGGUUCUUUUUCACAUCCUUCUGCUACCCUUAAAAGAGAGAGAAUGAGAGCAUGGCAUCUCUAGAAGAUUCCUUGGUCAAAAAUCUCAAAAAUGUUCCCAGGCUUUGUCUAAUUACAACAUUAACCAAAGUUAUAGACACUACUGUGUCUAUUCCCAGAUAGCCUCUGAAAAGUCUCUAAUUGACAAACUUAAAGAUAACCCUAAAGCUUUCCAUCAGUACAUUUGGAAUAAGAAAGUUGUAACUCCUUUCUAAUGCAUCAUGACACGUCGCUUGUUGUCAUUUUUGAUGUUAUGGCUUAAAUCUUUGUCAACAAUUUUGCUUUUGUAUUUAAAGACACUUGUCAUAACUCUUUCUGAAUCACGCUUUCCAAAGACUUCUCGAUUAUGUUAAUUUUACUCUCUGAUGUGAAAAAAAAGGCUUGUAGCAUUUGAUCUCCACACAAGUAUUGGACUGGAUGGCCUGCACCCCUGACUAUUAAGAUCAUACCCAUCCCUGGCUUACCCCACAUUCAAAUUCUUCACCUCCAGCAUGAGCGGAGGCACUCUCCCUGCAUUGUGGAAGGUCUCAAACAUAGUUCCCAUAUUCAAGAAAGGUUCCCUCUCUGACACACUAAAUUACAGACCAAUAAGUCUUCUGUAUGCUGUAUAGCCAUGAAAAAAUAGUAGCUGACUGUAUUUACUCCUACCUUGAGCAAAAUUUUAUACUCAUUGCUGACCAAUAUGGUUUUCAAGGUGGCCGGACAGCUGAUGAUCAGCAGUUACUGACCAAUUGUUACUGUACGCAAAGCGUAUGUACCUUACAUCAUUAUUCCUCAGUAAUCAUAAGUGAAAUGUUCAAUAGUUUUCUGUUUGCAUGAAGACGUGUAAUUUGUGUAAGUAUCAAUAUUCAAUGCUAUAUUAAGCACCAAAGCCAAUGCUCACUUGUUAGUAGAGUGUGGUUAACUCAUUGGUCGCCUGCGGGCGUCACUCACAGCCAAGUUGUGCUCAAAGAUGGGCAGGAUGGUGACCAAGGUAAAUACUUUAAUUUUUGUAGUAAAAACUGAUUGUUAUAAUGCCAAGUUAAUUGCAUGUAUUGUUAAUGAAUACUGUAAUAUGUUGAAAGUGUUUAAUAUCAGUGUAUAAUGUUAUUUUGUAAGAAAUUGAGACCGAGAACUUGUUUGCAGUUCUUACAGUCAUGCCUACCUCAUCAAUAAAUGUCAAGAGAGAGAACUGCCCUUCCUCGACCCUACGAUGAUGGGUGUGAUCAAUAAAACAGAUCACCUGAGAGCUAAUGAAGACUUGCCGGUGCAGCUACACGAAUGACUGUAACUCUGGGGUUAGAUACUGAAAGUGUGGUAGAUAUGAUACUAUUUGACUUCUCCAAAGCUUUUGAUGUGAUAAACCACACUCCAGUGCAUUGGUAUCAUGGGCCUGCUGCUGAACUGGAUCAGCUCAUUUCUACAGCAUGCCAGGCAACUCCACUGGCCUCUUCUUCAGUGGUCAAGGGGGCAGAGCUCCAAGGAGCUAAAAUUCCAAGCCCUUGUGAGAAAUGAAGACGCCACCUUUAGAUUGCUUGCCAACCUGCAUCCCAAAGCUCCGAACAGAGUUUUUAAGAUGUAUAGUUGGGAUGAUGAUGAUUGUUUUUUUAAUUCAGGUUUUGAGUGUUUAUUGUAAAUAAUUGCUAAUAUUUUAAUGUUUGUAUAUGCAUCAGCUUUGUGUAAUAUGUUGAAGUCCUUCUCACCAACAAGUAAAGUAUUACUUAAAAUAUCACUAAAUGACAGGGUUAGAUUACCUAAGAAGAAAUAAAAACACAAAAGUGCUGACAGUUAACUAUUGCAUGGCAUGGAGAAGGUGUAGAGUCCUCACUCCAUCAAGAGCCAGCCAUGUAUUGCAUCCAUUGAAGUACAGUGAACCAUCCCCCUGACAUGAAUGAAGUUGCUCAACAAGACUACUGUCCCAGGGCAGGUGUGUUGAUAGUAGAUAAAUUUCGAGUUGCAGAAGAGGUGAGCAGGGAUUCACCAGAGUUUCUUUUUUUCAUUUAUUACUUGUGCAA
Molecule: long non-coding RNA, 3609 nt
Organism: Scylla paramamosain (green mud crab)
Lineage: Eukaryota; Metazoa; Arthropoda; Malacostraca; Decapoda; Portunidae
Exons: 2
Source: RefSeq, a predicted model, not a curated record